RNAcentral lists this ribosomal RNA (450 nucleotides) under uncultured bacterium. RNAcentral describes it as "bacterial SSU rRNA". It matches the Rfam family "Bacterial small subunit ribosomal RNA", at positions 28 to 524 of the family's 1533-position model. The record is from RNAcentral.
GACGAACGCUGGCGGCAUGCCUAAUACAUGCAAGUCGAACGAACUCUUCGGAGUUAGUGGCGCACGGGUGCGUAACGCGUGGGAAUCUGCCCUUGGGUUCGGAAUAACAGUUGGAAACGACUGCUAAUACCGGAUGAUGACGAAAGUCCAAAGAUUUAUCGCCCAGGGAUGAGCCCGCGUAGGAUUAGCUAGUUGGUGAGGUAAAGGCUCACCAAGGCGACGAUCCUUAGCNGGUCUGAGAGGAUGAUCAGCCACACUGGGACUGAGACACGGCCCAGACUCCUACGGGAGGCAGCAGUAGGGAAUAUUGGACAAUGGGCGAAAGCCUGAUCCAGCAAUGCCGCGUGAGUGAUGAAGGCCUUAGGGUUGUAAAGCUCUUUUACCCGAGAUGAUAAUGACAGUAUCGGGAGAAUAAGCCCCGGCUAACUCCGUGCCAGCAGCCGCCGCAGU